Molecule: long non-coding RNA, 470 nt
Filed under: Pan troglodytes (chimpanzee)
Lineage: Eukaryota; Metazoa; Chordata; Mammalia; Primates; Hominidae
Description: lincRNA
Source: RNAcentral
UCUCUCUUAGGGAAAACCAGCACCAAAGUUCUAGAGUCUGGACGUCUGAGAUCAGGGUGCCAGCACUGUCGAGGUCACAGACUGCAGACCUCCUUGUAUCUUCAAAUGGAGGAAAGAGGACAAGAGAGCUCCUGUGGUCACUUUUAUCAAGAUGAAUGCAUAAGGAAAAUGCUGUACAUUUGCACAUUGGAGUACACUUCAGCCAUAAAAAGAAUGAGAUGCUGUCAUUUGCAACAACAGUUGAAGCCUAGUCAAGAAGAGGGCUCUGAGAAGCUUGACUAAAGUUUCAUGAAGAGAGUCUCUGUCAGUGGUGGGUCUUUGAUUCUCAAGGAAGCUGUCAGAAGCUUCAUCUAACUUCUCUUCCACUCUACUUUCUUCUGGGGAAGAAGUGACCCAACAAUUUGAUCUAAUAUUUGCCUGAUAAUAUUGAACAUCCUUGCAUCCGUUAAAGUUUACUGUUCUAAGACUUA